This 500-nucleotide ribosomal RNA is filed under the name uncultured marine bacterium. RNAcentral describes it as "bacterial SSU rRNA". It matches the Rfam family "Bacterial small subunit ribosomal RNA", at positions 47 to 526 of the family's 1533-position model. The record is from RNAcentral.
CCUAACACAUGCAAGUCGAGCGGAAACGACACUAACAAUCCUUCGGGUGCGUUAAUGGGCGUCGAGCGGCGGACGGGUGAGUAAUGCCUAGGAAAUUGCCUUGAUGUGGGGGAUAACCAUUGGAAACGAUGGCUAAUACCGCAUAAUGCCUACGGGCCAAAGAGGGGGAUCUUCGGACCUCUCGCGUCAAGAUAUGCCUAGGUGGGAUUAGCUAGUUGGUGAGGUAAUGGCUCACCAAGGCGACGAUCCCUAGCUGGUCUGAGAGGAUGAUCAGCCACACUGGAACUGAGACACGGUCCAGACUCCUACGGGAGGCAGCAGUGGGGAAUAUUGCACAAUGGGCGAAAGCCUGAUGCAGCCAUGCCGCGUGUAUGAAGAAGGCCUUCGGGUUGUAAAGUACUUUCAGUUGUGAGGAAGGGGGUAACGUUAAUAGCGUUAUCUCUUGACGUUAGCAACAGAAGAAGCACCGGCUAACUCCGUGCCAGCAGCCGCGGUAAUAC